RNA transcript from Amphibalanus amphitrite, 1660 nucleotides. It is a transcript of the gene named probable spore coat protein DDB_G0283555, with no coding region annotated. The transcript has 2 exons. Lineage: Eukaryota; Metazoa; Arthropoda; Thecostraca; Balanomorpha; Balanidae. The record is from RefSeq and is a predicted model, not a curated record.
GUUAGGCUGGUACGUCUCUGCGUGGAAUUUGGGGCUUUGGAAUUUGAAGGGACCGAAUUCAAGCAGAUUGAUGGCCUGGCGAUGGGUUCGCCGUUGAGCCCGGUACUCGCCUGCCUUUUCAUGGAGACAUUAGAAGCGGACCACUUCUUGAGCAUUGCUGGUACCGAUACGACCUGGCUCCGGUAUGUCGAUGACAUUCUGGUCAUCAUCAACAAAGAUGUCGAUUUAAAUUGUAUUUUGCAGCAGUUGAACAGUGUGCAUCAGAAGAUACAAUUUACCUCCGAAGAGGAGGAAGAUGGCACUAUUGCAUUUCUGGACGCGUGCAUCCAUAAUCGGGGCAACAAGGCUGUAUUUUCAGUGUACCGGAAGCCCACCAACAAGAAUGACCUGAUACACUUCUACUCGGCGCACAGCAGUCGAACAAAAACUGGAGUCGUGCUGGGAUUUUAUCUUCGAGCACUUCGCAUUUGCUCAGAAGAAUUUAUCAGGGACGAGCUGAACUACAUUAAAGAAGUAUUUAUUGGACUCAAGUACCCGCCAGGUCUUUUAUGUCAGCUAGAGAAGAGGGCCGUCAAAAUACGAGCUAGAGCUUCAAACGCCACAAGGAAUAGCAAGAGGAGGUAUCUCUCAGUCCCAGCAUCAAAAGAAGUAGAAGCUGUGGACAAUUUUGUAAGGGAAACUAUCAAUAUUUCAUCCCCAGCGGGCCUGACCAUUAAAAACCUUGUGCAAACGAAGAAGAAAGGUUCUACUAAUGAGGAUAGUGUCGUUUACAAAAUUCCUUGUGGUGCAUGUGAUAAAUGUUACGUCGGUGAAACAUACAGGGGCAUUAGAACCAGGCAAAAGGAGCAUAAGAGUGACCUUAGGUACCACCGUCUGUCCAACGCCCUUGUGCAACACGUAGAUGAGGCGGGACAUCUCCCCAACUGGGAUGAUAUGUCUGUGUUGUGUAGGGGUUUGACAAAGAAGCAUAGGCAGGCUGUAGAAGCAGCUUAUAUUCACAUCUUUGACAAUCUAAAUGGUAAUGCAGGAAAAGUGAAACUGAGCAGAUUUACGGCUGAACUUAUUUUGCACGAUCUAAAAACCAGAAGUGCAAAGUGAGAAGCGACGGGUGUGAAGCAUUGCUAUUUGAAUUUUAAUCUGUGCCGCAAACUAUUUUGACAACUUUGAUGUUUAGGCGAAUUAUUUGCAUUUUAUUUUGUCUUUAUGGCUUGAAAAAGAUUUAUAUCGAAACACAUGUGUAGCCAACUUAAAGUAAUAUAACCAAAAACGUUCCCAUUGUUUUCCACUUAUAAUUCAAAAACAAGGCUAAAUGCAAUACUUAGUAAGUUAGUAAAUUGUCAUAAGAAGAGGCAAAGAAGUCAAGACUAAAUGUAGCUUGACUGGCCGCCACACCAUUCCCAAAGAAAAUAGUGAGAAGGAGAGAGUGAUCCAGGGUCCGACAGCACGCCUGUGCAGCAUGUUGACAGGGCCACCCGCGGCUGUGCGUGUGGCGGCUACUGACCUGUGCGUCGGAUCGGAACAGCUCCCCUCCCCUCCCCCCCCCCCCCGCCGUCCGAACUCGCCGGUCACGUGACCGGCCGAGAUGACCCGGGGGGCGGCGGGCGGUGGUAUAAAAGCGGCGUGCGGCCGCCGGAGUUCGAGCAGCACCGCCGCCGCUUCA